UUGCAGCCUCCAAAAGAUGUCGAGAUAGGGCUCUUGCACCUUGGUGCCAGUGGAAACCACUCUGGAGCCCGCAGAUUCCAUGGCAGGUACAAGCAGUAAGGACACCGGCUCCGACAGAUGAGGCUCUGGAGCAACUUCUGCAGAGUCCUACUGCUCCGACUCCUGGUAACGUCUGUGGGGGUCUCCUGGUCUGUAGCAGGGGCAGUUGGCCAGAGCCAAGGUCCACCCUUCUGAAGUCAACAAGCCUGAAGGAAUCACAUUGCCUUGAAGCCACCACACAGUCAUGAAAAGCAGCUGAAAACAUAACUCAGCCUCCUCAGAGAGCACCCGGCUGGGGAACAAACUGCAGUCUUUCCCUCACCCAGAGGAACUACGAAAAGCCCAGUAAGUGACCUCUUCAGCAAAGAUUUGCAUUGGCUUCUCCUCUCCUCAUGUAUCACUUACACUAUAUACAUACCGUUGUUCCCACCACCUCUCGCCUGUGUCAUUGUACCUGCCUUCUAACCUCAUAGUUUAAUUCCACAAAGGCUUUCAGGGGGAAGUCAGCAUGCCAAGAUGGUGUGAGUUUACACCACGUUGGCUACUUUUGUCCUAAUUCCCCAUGUGGACACUUUGGGCACAUAUUAAAGGACUUUCCGUAGGCAGCAGUUUCAAAGCUGAGUAUGAUGCCUUGCAUGUUAGCGGGCACCCAAGGGUUUGGUGUAGAGACACCAGUCUGUACCCUAGAAAGGUAAUUACCUUUUUGUACAGAAGACAAGCCCUCAGUAACAUCACUGCAGUUAGUUGACACAGAAUUUAUAACCCUGCCUCACCUGCCUUUUUAAGAAGAAAGCCUAGAAAACAGGGAUACGGAUGAGUGGAGAGUUUCUUUAUCAUCAGUGAGUCAUUGCUUGUUGAAAAUUUUGUCUACCUAGUUCCAUGGCAUACCUGGGAGUUGCCCACAUAUAACCCAUCUAUUGCUCUCAGCCCCAAUAAAUAUAUUUAAAAUGCAGCUGAGCAAAUGGAUCACAAGGACUACUAAAAUCAUACGACUCUGGAAACUUCUUUGGCUUCCAGUUAUUUCUUUUUU
This is a long non-coding RNA of Harpia harpyja (harpy eagle), 1069 nucleotides long. RefSeq lists it as uncharacterized. The transcript has 3 exons. The record is from RefSeq and is a predicted model, not a curated record. Lineage: Eukaryota; Metazoa; Chordata; Aves; Accipitriformes; Accipitridae.